Molecule: microRNA precursor, 87 nt
Filed under: Myotis lucifugus (little brown bat)
Lineage: Eukaryota; Metazoa; Chordata; Mammalia; Chiroptera; Vespertilionidae
Description: miRNA (ENSMLUG00000023793.1)
Source: RNAcentral
GUGUGUGAGUGUGUGUGUACACGUGUGUGUUGGAUGAGAAAAUAAAACACACACACACACACACACACACACACACACACACACACA